GGGCUGGAGAGAUGGCUCAGCCGUUAAA
This 28-nucleotide non-coding RNA is filed under the name Mus musculus (house mouse). Lineage: Eukaryota; Metazoa; Chordata; Mammalia; Rodentia; Muridae. RNAcentral also lists the same sequence under 1 other name. The record is from RNAcentral.